RNAcentral lists this long non-coding RNA (3427 nucleotides) under Homo sapiens (human). RNAcentral describes it as "HSALNT0390551". Lineage: Eukaryota; Metazoa; Chordata; Mammalia; Primates; Hominidae. The record is from RNAcentral.
CUGCUGCUGCUGAAAAGGCCAGCCGGGCUGGAGAGACCUGGCAUUGGCGCAUCUGGGAACCGACGUCCGUGCGCGGCUGGCUAGAAUGCUGGACUCGCCUCCGCAGCGCUAGCCACCCAGCCUCUCUCAUGGUCUGCUUUGUGGCCCAGGGCCUGCAGGGAUUAGAAGACAUGUGGGGUCAAGGAACAGGAAGCUGACCUGGAUGGAAGUUGAACAGUGAUCUUUGCUCUCUGCCUGGCUCCUGAGUCCUCUGCCAUGUUCCUGGAGAAGAGGAGCCAGCCAGGGUAAGAAGGGCAGGGGCUUAGGGUGGAAACGCCAUGUGGGUGAGGAUCCUGCCUGAAACAGCUUUGAGAGUCCUGCGAUGACAGAUUGGCCCCAUGCCAGGCCUUAUCUCUUUGGACAUCCCAAACAGGAAUGACCAGCAUGUCCGAUCCUGGGACUGGGAGCCGGAAAGGGAUGAGGGAUGGUUUUUCCACUCCAGGGGAGUGUCCAGAGGGAAUGUGGAGCAGAGCAGGGGCGACUGGUAGGGGGAGGGCCUGAGCUAAAGAAUGUGGGGGAGUGUCAGACCAGUCUGGGGAGAUGGAGUGGGAGUGGAGGGAGACAUGGAGACUAGAAGGAUCUCAGCUGGAGAGAUGGAGAAAGAGAAAUCUCAGGGUUCUUUGGUUUCAGUGGCACCGUCGUCUGUAGGAUCAUCUCAUCCCUCAGUUGACUUUAUCAUGUCAACUCUUUAUCUGUCAACCCUCCCCCAUGGGGAAGAGACCCACCUAGAAACACACAGACAGACAGAGAAACAAGGACACAGGAAUAAUAUGUGUAAUGAGGAGUCUAAGUCCAUUUGUUGAUGUUUGCUGACAGAUUUUAAGCCUCACCCUUCCCUCUUCUCUGUGCCCUACACCUGGACAAGCUGAUAAGAAAGUCUGGGUGCACCCUCCUUUGGUGUUUGAGGGGGAAUAUUCACAAGCCCCUUCCUGAGGGAACCCUCACCCCUCAACCACAAUAAAAACCCAGGCCAGUCUCCUUCCUGGCUCUCCCAACACAUCUGGGACCUGCUUGAAAGACUGCCCCUGCUCCCCCUGGAGACCUCAAUUAUGUAAAUAAUAAACCUUUUCAUACUCUCUUGGUGUUUGGGUGGUGUCGUCAGUCUUCAUUCAAACCAAACCUUGGAUGGGAUCCAUCUGCCUCUGCAGGUGACCGUAACAACAUGCAAAUGGUGAGUUCUGCUGGGGGGUCAUGGAAGCUCCCUGGAGGAGGUGUAUCUGGACAACAGGGAAAGAAAGGAGCUGGAGAAGAGAGGCAGAAAAAUUGGGUCCUGGUUCAGGUGAAGUUUUCCCAGCUGGAACAAUGACAAUGUCAAUAUCCCACAAAGGCGGCUUCUGUUUAUUUAGCGCUUGCUGUGUUCCCACAAGUCUUCCUCUACCUGCCCUCUCCCCAGCCCUCAUCUCACUCUCCCAGAGCCCCAGAGCACACCAAUGGACACCAUCACCUCUCGGGCAGAUCAGCACAGAGACGUGAAGCACACAGGCAGCUGCUGGAAAAAUAACAAGGAAUUGCAAUGGUGUGCCCCUCCGUUGAAUGCAAGCUCUCUUCUGCCUUCUCACCUUGGGCAAGUUACCUUCCGUUCCAGGCCUCGGUUUCUCCAUGUGUGAAAUGAAAGGGCUGGAGAGAAAUCUCUCACUAUUCCCCAAUCUACAUUCAUUGUAUCCCAAACCUUCUAAUAUCUGUUCAACGAAGUGUACCAAAUCUCAGCUAUUGGACUGAGACUCAGGGGUCUAUCUGACUUGAAUUGAAAAUGCAAAUUACUGAAGAGGGAGGGAGGGAGGAGUGCUGAAGAUUGAAUGGAUUUAUCAGAUUUCCUUCUCCUAUGGCCCAGAUGCAGGCCUAGUCCAGGCGAUUCCCCUGGCUCAGAAUCUGCCAGGCUCAAGCAUUCAUUGACAGCCUACUAUGUACCAAUCCUGGGCUGAGUCCCAACCCGGGGAUGACUUAGAGGAGGCCAGGAUGUGGCCUCAUGUUCUGGUUGCUCUCACAUUUAAACAGGCUAAACCCACUUUGCAUUGUAUGUUAGGGGUGGUGCUUGUGGGACAAAGGGGGCUGUCAGAACAUUCUGGCUGCCACAUGAAGUUGACUUUGCCAGGACAGACUGGGUUGUGGGGGAAGGCAGCUACUGUAAUAAUUUGGCCAAGAAGUGGGCUGAGCAGGAGCAGGGCUGAGGGAGGGAGAGAGGGAAUGAGUAAGAAAGGCCCAGGGUACUGAUUUGACUGGGACUUCAGGGACAGGUGUGGGGCGAGAGGGAUGCUGGAAGUGAAGGAGGGAAAGUGCAGAGGCUUUCUGGGGAUUAAUAGGCAAUGAUCUCUAUGAGGGCGUGGUGAGUAGGCCCCAAACAUCCGGGGACUUCCCUGCCUGCCAUCCCUCUGUCUCUCUCUUCCUUUCCUACUGCCCAGGGCCUGGCCCUGCUGCACAUGCCCUGCCCUGGCCCCCAGAGUCCCCUUCUUUCCUGGCUGGGAGAUUAAGACUCUGCUGUGCCUACAGCAUUCUCAACCUCAAGUCAAGGUGGCCCUUUGGAGCCCAGGAGGCCACAUGGCUGAGUCAGGGCUGAGUCACCACCCCCCAAGGGCCUUGCCAUUUCCUGUGGAGAAGCCUCUUUACUGGCAGGGUUCUGUGCUCAGGUGGGAAAUCUGGAGAGGUCGGGGGCAGGGCUUCAUCUACUUUUACCCACUAACUCCCUAGACACUCCACUGGGGGUAGAGGGUUCCUACACGUAUGAUGAUCAAAACAUGUGUCUGUGCACAUGGGCCCUUAUGCAUUCACAGGUGUUUGCCUAUGCGACUGCAUGUCUGAAUGUUUUAUGUAUAUUUGAAUAUAGAUAGGGAACAAAUAUUUAUGGAGCACAUAUUAUGUGUGCAGCCUUUUACGUGUGUUACUUUCUAAUAACCCUAGGAGGCGUAGAUGCCUCCCAGGCUAUGGUUGAAAAUACUGACAUGCCCAAGGUGCAGGAGGUAUGAAUACCUCCCCACUGUGGCUGGUAACACCCCAGGUUUCUCCAACUCCACAGUGAUGGGCUUUCCUCCAGAGCCGGUUCCUCAGGGGCAGGAGUGAGAAGUGUGUGUGUCUGUAUUUAUCCUUCCACCAGUGGCUGUGAUUGGUCCUGUGGUUGGAAACAGGGUCAAGUAAGGCCCUUGGGAGUAGCUGGGUGAAUGGACGAUGGUGGCGUCCACCUUGGACAUGGCACAUACUUCUGGUCGGGUAUCCACGUGGCUGGCCAACCCGGACCUGCCCUAUUAGGGGCCAUCGCCCUCAUGGCUCAUCAGUGCUGAGUUUCAUUGCCUUCUUCGUAAUGCAAUACUAAUGGAUACAGGCAUGUAUCUGCCGUACACUAGAUGAAAUGUGGUUAUUUGCUCAGGUAGAAAUAAAGACUAAAAUACCAAAGUGG